UACGGGGGUAGCAAGCGUUGUUCGGAUUUACUGGGCGUAAAGGGCGCGUAGGCGGCCACCGCAAGUCAAUUGUGAAAUCUCCGGGCUUAACUCGGAAAGGUCAACUGAUACUGCGGGGCUAGAGUGCGGAAGGGGCAACUGGAAUUCUCGGUGUAGCGGUGAAAUGCGUAGAGAUCGGGAGGAACACCAGAGGCGAAGGCGGCGACCUGGACAAUUACUGACACUCAACUACGAAAGCGUGGGGAGCAAACAGG
This 254-nucleotide ribosomal RNA is filed under the name uncultured bacterium. RNAcentral describes it as "partial 16S ribosomal RNA". It matches the Rfam family "Bacterial small subunit ribosomal RNA", at positions 524 to 776 of the family's 1533-position model. The record is from RNAcentral.